Molecule: ribosomal RNA, 449 nt
Filed under: Escherichia coli
Lineage: Bacteria; Pseudomonadati; Pseudomonadota; Gammaproteobacteria; Enterobacterales; Enterobacteriaceae
Description: partial 23S ribosomal RNA
Rfam family: Bacterial large subunit ribosomal RNA
Source: RNAcentral
AAUGCUGACAUAAGUAACGAUAAAGCGGGUGAAAAGCCCGCUCGCCGGAAGACCAAGGGUUCCUGUCCAACGUUAAUCGGGGCAGGGUGAGUCGACCCCUAAGGCGAGGCCGAAAGGCGUAGUCGAUGGGAAACAGGUUAAUAUUCCUGUACUUGGUGUUACUGCGAAGGGGGGACGGAGAAGGCUAUGUUGGCCGGGCGACGGUUGUCCCGGUUUAAGCGUGUAGGCUGGUUUUCCAGGCAAAUCCGGAAAAUCAAGGCUGAGGCGUGAUGACGAGGCACUACGGUGCUGAAGCAACAAAUGCCCUGCUUCCAGGAAAAGCCUCUAAGCAUCAGGUAACAUCAAAUCGUACCCCAAACCGACACAGGUGGUCAGGUAGAGAAUACCAAGGCGCUUGAGAGAACUCGGGUGAAGGAACUAGGCAAAAUGGUGCCGUAACUUCGGGAGAA